This 371-nucleotide ribosomal RNA is filed under the name Lynceus grossipedia. Its description in RNAcentral is "partial large subunit ribosomal RNA". It matches the Rfam family "Bacterial large subunit ribosomal RNA", at positions 1932 to 2533 of the family's 2925-position model. The record is from RNAcentral. Lineage: Eukaryota; Metazoa; Arthropoda; Branchiopoda; Diplostraca; Lynceidae.
CGCGGUAAUUUGACCGUGCUAAGGUAGCAUAAUCAUUUGUCUUUUAAUUGAAGACUGGAAUGAAAGGUAAAACGAGAAAUGAGCUGUCUUUAUAAAAUAAAUUGAAUUUUAUUUUUUAGUGAAAAAGCUAAAAUAUAUUUGUGGGACGAUAAGACCCUAUAGAUCUUUAUUAGAAGUUUUAUUUUAAUGUAAAAAUAUAAUUUUAUUGGGGCGAUAAGAAGAAAAGUGUAUCUCUUUAAUUAUAAAAAUAUUUAUGGAUAAAUAUAUUUUUGAUCCUAAAAGUUGGAUUAUUAGAAUAAGUUACCUUAGGGAUAACAGCGUAAUAUUUUUUGAGAGUUCUUAUCGAAAAAAAUGUUUGCGACCUCGAUGUU